Molecule: ribosomal RNA, 200 nt
Filed under: Pythium insidiosum
Lineage: Eukaryota; Oomycota; Peronosporomycetes; Pythiales; Pythiaceae
Description: partial large subunit ribosomal RNA
Source: RNAcentral
CUGGUGGGCGACUUCGGAAAGGACAUUAAGGAGAUGACCUCUAUUGGCGGUAUGUUAGGCUUCGGCCCGACGUUGCAGCUGACGGGGUGUUGUUUCCGUUCUUUCCUUGAGGUGUACCUGUCGUGUGUGAGGUCGAACUGGACGCUGGUUAUUGUGUAGUAGAGUAUUGCUGCGCUUUGACGCCUUCGGGUAAAGAGGAC